This 253-nucleotide ribosomal RNA is filed under the name uncultured bacterium. RNAcentral's name for it is "partial 16S ribosomal RNA". It matches the Rfam family "Bacterial small subunit ribosomal RNA", at positions 524 to 776 of the family's 1533-position model. The record is from RNAcentral.
GACGUAGGGCGCGAGCGUUGUCCGGAUUUAUUGGGCGUAAAGAGCUCGUAGGCGGCUCGUUGCGUCGGCUGUGAAAACCCGCAGCUCAACUGUGGGCUUGCAGCCGAUACGGGCGGGCUGGAGUUCGGUAGGGGAGACUGGAAUUCCUGGUGUAGCGGUGAAAUGCGCAGAUAUCAGGAGGAACACCAAUGGCGAAGGCAGCUCGCUGGGACGGUACUGACGCUGAGACGCGAAAGCGUGGGGAGCAAACAGG